This 450-nucleotide ribosomal RNA is filed under the name uncultured bacterium. RNAcentral's name for it is "partial 16S ribosomal RNA". It matches the Rfam family "Bacterial small subunit ribosomal RNA", at positions 354 to 796 of the family's 1533-position model. The record is from RNAcentral.
GUGGGGAAUAUUGGACAAUGGGCGCAAGCCUGAUCCAGCCAUGCCGCGUGUGUGAAGAAGGCCUUAGGGUUGUAAAGCACUUUCAGUGGGGAGGAAGGGUGUUGUGUUAAUAGCACAGCAUUUUGACGUUACCCACAGAAGAAGCACCGGCUAACUCCGUGCCAGCAGCCGCGGUAAUACGGAGGGUGCAAGCGUUAAUCGGAAUUACUGGGCGUAAAGCGCACGCAGGCGGCUUUUUAAGUCGGAUGUGAAAGCCCCGGGCUCAACCUGGGAAUUGCAUCUGAUACUGGGAAGCUAGAGUAUGUGAGAGGGGGGUAGAAUUACAAGUGUAGCGGUGAAAUGCGUAGAGAUUUGGAGGAAUACCAGUGGCGAAGGCGGCCCCCUGGCACAAUACUGACGCUCAGGUGCGAAAGCGUGGGGAGCAAACAGGAUUAGAUACCCCGGUAGUCC